This 1481-nucleotide ribosomal RNA is filed under the name uncultured bacterium. Its description in RNAcentral is "partial 16S rRNA". It matches the Rfam family "Bacterial small subunit ribosomal RNA". The record is from RNAcentral.
GUUUGAUCCUGGCUCAGGACGAACGCUGGCGGCGUGCUUAACACAUGCAAGUCGAACGAUGAAGCUCCAGCUUGCUGGGGCGGAAGAGUGGCGAACGGGUGAGUAACACGUGAGUAACCUGCCCAUCACUCUGGGAUAAGCGCUGGAAACGGCGUCUAAUACUGGAUAUGCACAGUGGCCGCAUGGUCUGCUGUGGGAAAGAUUUAUCGGUGGUGGAUGGACUCGCGGCCUAUCAGCUUGUUGGUGAGGUAAUGGCUCACCAAGGCGACGACGGGUAGCCGGCCUGAGAGGGUGAUCGGCCACACUGGGACUGAGACACGGCCCAGACUCCUACGGGAGGCAGCAGUGGGGAAUAUUGCACAAUGGGCGAAAGCCUGAUGCAGCAACGCCGCGUGAGGGAUGACGGCCUUCGGGUUGUAAACCUCUUUUAGUAGGGAAGAAGCGCAAGUGACGGUACCUGCAGAAAAAGCACCGGCUAACUACGUGCCAGCAGCCGCGGUAAUACGUAGGGUGCAAGCGUUGUCCGGAAAUUAUUGNGCGUAAAGAGCUCGUAGGCGGCUUGUCGCGUCUGCUGUGAAAACCCGAGGCUCAACCUCGGGCUUGCAGUGGGUACGGGCAGGCUAGAGUGCGGUAGGGGAGAUUGGAAUUCCUGGUGUAGCGGUGGAAUGCGCAGAUAUCAGGAGGAACACCAAUGGCGAAGGCAGAUCUCUGGGCCGCUACUGACGCUGAGGAGCGAAAGCAUGGGGAGCGAACAGGAUUAGAUACCCUGGUAGUCCAUGCCGUAAACGUUGGGAACUAGAUGUAGGGCCUGUUCCACGGGUUCUGUGUCGUAGCUAACGCAUUAAGUUCCCCGCCUGGGGAGUACGGCCGCAAGGCUAAAACUCAAAGGAAUUGACGGGGGCCCGCACAAGCGGCGGAGCAUGCGGAUUAAUUCGAUGCAACGCGAAGAACCUUACCAAGGCUUGACAUAUAGAAGAACGGGCGAGAGAUCGUCAACUCUUUGGACACUUCUAUACAGGUGGUGCAUGGUUGUCGUCAGCUCGUGUCGUGAGAUGUUGGGUUAAGUCCCGCAACGAGCGCAACCCUUGAUCUUAGUUGCCAGCAUUCAGUUGGGCACUCUAAGGUGACUGCCGGUGACAAACCGGAGGAAGGUGGGGAUGACGUCAAAUCNUUCAUGCCCCUUAUGACCUGGGCUACACACGUGCUACAAUGGACGGUACAAAGGGUUGCCAACCCGCGAGGGGGAGCCAAUCCCAGAAAACCGUUCUCAGUUCGGAUUGUAGGCUGCAACUCGCCUGCAUGAAGCCGGAAUCGCUNGUAAUCGUGGAUCAGCNUGCCGCGGUGAAUACGUUCCCNNNCCUUGUACACACCGCCNGUCACACCAUGGGAGUUGGUUCUACCCGAAGGCGAUGCGCUAACCGCAAGNAGGCAGUCGACCACGGUAGGGUCAGCGACUGGGGUGAAGUCGUAACAAGGUAACC